GGGAACGUAGCUCAGUGGUAGAGUGCAUGCUUUGCAAGCAUGAGGCCCUGGGUUCGAUUCCUCAGCACCA
This 70-nucleotide transfer RNA is filed under the name Dipodomys ordii (Ord's kangaroo rat). It matches the Rfam family "tRNA". Rfam says of the family: Transfer RNA (tRNA) molecules are approximately 80 nucleotides in length. Their secondary structure includes four short double-helical elements and three loops (D, anti-codon, and T loops). Further hydrogen bonds mediate the characteristic L-shaped molecular structure. tRNAs have two regions of fundamental functional importance: the anti-codon, which is responsible for specific mRNA codon recognition, and the 3' end, to which the tRNAs corresponding amino acid is attached (by aminoacyl-tRNA synthetases). tRNAs cope with the degeneracy of the genetic code in two manners: having more than one tRNA (with a specific anti-codon) for a particular amino acid; and 'wobble' base-pairing, i.e. permitting non-standard base-pairing at the 3rd anti-codon position. The record is from Rfam by way of RNAcentral. Lineage: Eukaryota; Metazoa; Chordata; Mammalia; Rodentia; Heteromyidae.